CUUCUGCCUCAUUGCUCUUC
Molecule: small nuclear RNA, 20 nt
Filed under: Arabidopsis thaliana (thale cress)
Lineage: Eukaryota; Viridiplantae; Streptophyta; Magnoliopsida; Brassicales; Brassicaceae
Description: snRNA_08591
Source: RNAcentral